Molecule: ribosomal RNA, 497 nt
Filed under: uncultured bacterium
Lineage: Bacteria
Description: partial 16S ribosomal RNA
Rfam family: Bacterial small subunit ribosomal RNA
Source: RNAcentral
GAUGAACGCUGGCGGCGUGCCUAAUACAUGCAAGUCGAGCGAACGGACGAGAAGCUUGCUCUUCUGAUGUUAGCGGCGGACGGGCGAGUAACACGUGGAUAACCUACCUAUAAGACUGGGAUAACUUCGGGAAACCGGAGCUAAUACCGGAUAAUAUUUUGAACCGCAUGGUUCAAAAGUGAAAGACGGUCUUGCUGUCACUUAUAGAUGGAUCCGCGCUGCAUUAGCUAGUUGGUAAGGUAACGGCUUACCAAGGCAACGAUGCAUAGCCGACCUGAGAGGGUGAUCGGCCACACUGGAACUGGGACACGGUCCAGACUCCUACGGGAGGCAGCAGUAGGGAAUCUUCCGCAAUGGGCGAAAGCCUGACGGAGCAACGCCGCGUGAGUGAUGAAGGUCUUCGGAUCGUAAACCUCUGUUAUUAGGGAAGAACAUAUGUGUAAGUAAAUCUGCACAUCUUGACGGUACCUAAUCAGAAAGCCACGGCUAACUACGUG